AUGUAGGAAAGAAUGAGCUAGGGAGAAAGAGGGAAGGGAAUGGAUGAAUGGGGGUAAGAAAACUGACUUGACUUGAUAGAAAAUUUCCAAAUGAAACUCUAUAUGUCAACUACUUGUUAAUGGCAGCAUCUCAUAUAAUACAGAAAAGUAUUUGAGCAUGCAGUGGACAUAUGCCAUUUUAUUUGAUUGCCUGGUAUCCAUGCCCUGUCUUAUUUAUGCAAAAUAUCCUACUCUGUGUAGUGUUUUUUUUUGGAGACUGAAGGAGACCGUCAAAAGAGAUCCUGAGACAGAUGUUUGCCUGCAGGUGGUUCGCUGAAAAGUACUUUUAGGGACAACACAGAUAGGGGAAUGAGGAAAGCUAGAUGGGGCAGAGGGUGAAGUUGAAUUGUAAUGCAGUUUGCAUAAAGACCUCAGUCAACUCCUCCUGGGGUUGGGAGACAAGGAUGGCUGUUCAGAGAUGUACAAAUUGAGCACAGUUGGCAGGCUUUUGAUUCUUGUAUCAACUGUUAGAGGCAUUAGAACCAGAGCGACUCCAUCUUGAGUAAGGGCUAAGAAAAAUGAGGCUGAAGUUUGCUGGGUUGCAUUCCCAGGAAGUUAGGUGUUCCUAGAUUCUAGAUCUAGUUUAUGAUUUAGGGAACAGAUUGAUAACAUUUACUAAACAGACCCAGACUCAGGAAUGUCCUGAUAUCCCAGUAUCUUGAGAACAGAAACAUUCCUAAUUUUGCUUUAAAGAUAAUAUCGAUUCUUGUAAAAUAUAGUAAUUAAGAAAAUCAAUUCUUUAUCACAAAUCCUUGUAGUAGAGCACUUAUCCCCAUGACUUUUUCUUUGUUGUUGUUAUCAUGUGUAUAAACAAGCAUUGUACCUAGAGUAGGCACGUUCUUCCUGUUACUAUUGGGAAUGCCCUACUCUGUCUACGGAGCAGCUAUUCUUUCGUCACUUUACUUUCUUAAUAAACUUGCUUUCGCUUUGCACUGUGGACUUGCCCUGAAUUCUUGCUUGCACGAGAUUCAAGAACCUUCUCUUGAAGUCUGGAUCAGGACCCCUUUCCGGCAAAAACUUGGUGAACUCAUUACAAGUAGACCUGUUCUAUGGAAAAAAAUGUUAAAGUUCUUCAGACAGAAUAUAAUACCAGAUUAA
RNAcentral lists this long non-coding RNA (1137 nucleotides) under Callithrix jacchus (white-tufted-ear marmoset). Its description in RNAcentral is "lncRNA (ENSCJAG00000081919.1)". Lineage: Eukaryota; Metazoa; Chordata; Mammalia; Primates; Cebidae. The record is from RNAcentral.